UCCCCCAAACCUCUGUGUGCCUGGGCGUGCUUAUCGAACGGUGAUUGGAGCACCAACGUGUACGCUCCGCCAUGCACCAGCCCGUUCGCGAAGACAACCUUAUCGGCCCCUUCAUCUCUAGUAAGGAAACACACGCGCGAAUCACCCUACCCUCUGUUGCGCGUAGCAUCGAUCAUCCGAGUGUUGGGAGUCUCGGACCACUGGGCGGGUCAUCGUCGGGGUAGGCCCCGCCGCCCAGCUCUGUUGCGCCGCCGCUCUGGUGAACGUCGGGAUGGGAAGAUGACACUGGUGUACCAUUGGAUCGGUCUCGAGCGGACGAUAUUAGAGUUUAGUGCCGCUUGGUCGGAUGCGUUUUGAGCCAUCAAUCUCAAGAUAAACGAUCACAAAUGGAUUCAGUUGUGAAAGGUUUGGAACCAUUAGAUUGCCAAUGGACGUGCGAGAUCACAUGUUGGAUAACCCUUCAACCUUUUAAUCUGGGCGGUCGGGUUUAGAUCCGACGGUUGAGAUGUGCCCGUACCCCUUCGGUUGGGGCAAAUUCAUUAAGAGACCCUAUAGUUCUCUAUAAUCAACUUGUGGUCCCACCUAGUCUUAGAACUAUCGCAACUAGGUCCAGAAAUUUGCGUGCGACCCCUCGAGAUUCUGGAGAUUUGUGGCCGCAACCCAAAAGGUUAAUAAAAUGGUUAAAAUCAAUAAGGAAAAUGAUUCUUAGUUUAAAAAUAAUUCAUGAAACUGUUUAAUUCAUAUUUAAUUCGUUUUAACUCCAAAUUAAUUCAUUCCAGUUGCAUUAGACUCAAAUUAAUAUUGUUUAUCAUCCAGUAACUUUAUUUUGUUAUGAAAUUGGGAUUAAAAUUUAUGCACUUGGUUCAUUUUAAUCCAACACUUAAAACUUCGAAAAUCCAUAACUUCUUCGUUUUAAUUCCGAUUUGGUCCGUUCAAGUCGCGCUAACUUCAUAUGAAUAUUUACUAUGCACUAACAACAUCAUUUAUACCAUAUCGCAUAAUUUUACAGUUAGAUAUUUGCUUAACCUAUGUCUACUAGAUUAACUCUUCUAAUCAAAGCUAACAUGUCCAUAUAUAUAAAUUUGGUUAAAAUAUGAUCUCUAGUCAUGUUAUAAUUAAGAUUAAAGUUGAAUUAAUUAUUUCUUUAGAUUAUCUUUAUAAAAUCAAAACAAGACCUAGUUUUAAUCACUUACACACAUGGGUCUCGAACCCACAAUCUCAUAGAAUAUUCUCAUGCAGUUUGUUCUUAUGUUUGGCGUGAUGUUAUUUUGCUAAUACCCUGUUUGUUUGUAUUGCUAUGACUAGCGCGAGGUUGCGAGUCACCUGAAGAGCAAGUUGGUACCUGGAAUCUCAAGUCCCAGGCAAGUUGUGCCCUUGAUCACUUCUUUUUACCCAAUCAUGUUCUCAUUAAUCAUAAUGAUCUGCAUAGGUUAAUUUUGAUGGGAUCCAAUAGGUCACCCUAGUUUGGCUAUCUUUAUACCUUGUUUACCACUAAAUUUUUUGGGUAGUACAUGUUAUUGCUUUAUGUGGUUUUGGAUAUGGAGAUACACAUUAUUCAUGAUUCUACUUUUAUUAUCAGUUUGUUAUUUACUAUUCAUGAUAAGAUCAUUAUGUUAAUUGGAACAUGGAGAACCACCCGAAAAAACAGUGCUACCAUAAGGGUGGUAUGGGACGUCCUUGGCUGACUAAUUAGGAAAGCUAGUGGAGGACUACCUUACCCAAAAGGGGCAAUGGCAGUAGGGGAGUGGUCAUUGUGGGGAUGCCCUUGGGUUGAUUUUGCUGAGAUGGCGGUCACGCGAGGGGUCCCUGCAUUGGAGCUUCAUAGAAACUGUACCGGGUUUUCUGAAGCUAGUGGAAGUUUGUAAAGGCCUCGUAGUGUUACCCUGCCUCGCUUCCUUGGUAGAGGUGUAUGGGAGUCGCAAUCCCUUAGCAGAUGGGUAACAUGACUUGUGGGUAAAUAUGUGCAACCACUACAGAGUGUAAAACUGGUAUACUAGCCGUGCUCACGGUCAUGAGCAGCUCGGACAAUCACAUGAUUAAUUUAUGGAAUUAAAUUCAAUUUGUCAUUUGCAUCGCAUUGGGAUUUAUUAUUAUUUUGACUUACUAUUACUAUAGUUUGGUAUUUACUUACAUUUAGUAAAUUCUAAUAAAAUUUUGACUAACUUAUAAAAUCAAUGCUCAGCUUUAGCCGUCCUCUUUGGUAAGCCUUACACUUCACAUGAGCUCCCGCCUUUGGUGAGUACAUGCACAUUAUUUCCCACAACUUGUUGAGCGAUGAACGUAUGUGAGCUCACUCUUGUUAUCUCACACCCCCAUAGGUCAAGAACAGGUACUGCAGGAUGAGGCGCAUGGAGGAUGCUACGAUGUGUUUGUGAGAGGUCUAGGUCGUCAUCUCCCAGUCAACUUUGGGUUGAUGGAUCAUUGUCUCCUUACAAUGUAAUUAUUUAUUUAUUUUGUACAAAACUCCUAUUACAUAGUAAAGAU
Molecule: long non-coding RNA, 2484 nt
Filed under: Zea mays
Lineage: Eukaryota; Viridiplantae; Streptophyta; Magnoliopsida; Poales; Poaceae
Description: long non-coding RNA (ZMAY_LNC000308)
Source: RNAcentral